Molecule: ribosomal RNA, 462 nt
Filed under: uncultured bacterium
Lineage: Bacteria
Description: partial 16S ribosomal RNA
Rfam family: Bacterial small subunit ribosomal RNA
Source: RNAcentral
GACGAACGCUGGCGGCGUGCUUAACACAUGCAAGUCGAACGGUAAGGCCCUUCGGGGUUCCCGAUUGGCGAACGGGUGAGUAACACGUUGGUAAUCUGCCCUGCACUUCGGGAUAAGCCUGGGAAACUGGGUCUAAUACCAGAUAUUCAGUUCCUGCCGCCUGGUGGGGGUUGGAAAGUUUUUCGGUGCAGGAUGGGCCUGCGGCCUAUCAGCUUGUUGGUGGGGUAUUGGCCUACCAAGGCGACGACGGGUAGCCGGCCUGAGAGGGUGAUCGGCGACAAGGGGACUGCGAGACGGCCCAGACGCCUACGGGAGGCAGUAGGGGGGAGUAUGGCACAAUGGGCGAAAGCCUGAUGAAGCGGCGCCGCGUGGGUGAUGACGGUCUUCGGAUUGUAAACCGCUUUCAGUAGGGACGAAGCGGAAGUGACGGUACCUGAAGAAGAAGCACCGGCCAACUACGUG